ACUAGAAUGAACGGCUAAAUGAGGACCUUACUGUCUCUUGCUGCCAGUCAAUGAAACUGAUCUCCCAGUCCAAAAGCUGGAAUAACUCCAUAAGACAAAAAGACCCUGUGGAGCUUUAAAACCAAAACCACCUACAAUUGUCCACUUGGUUUUUAGUUGGGGCGACUUCGGAGCAAAGACAAACCUCCGAAACAAUGGACCUCACCAUAUCGAGGCCAACACGCCAAAAUAACCAAAACUUGACCCAGACCUUAAUUUCUGACAAUGAACCAAGUUACCCCAGGGAUAACAGCGCCAUCUUCUUUUAGAGUCCCUAUCGACAAGAAGGUUUACGACCUCGAUGUUGGAUCAGGACACCCCAAUAGUGCAGCCGCUAUUAAAG
This 382-nucleotide ribosomal RNA is filed under the name Gallotia galloti (Gallot's lizard). Its description in RNAcentral is "partial 16S ribosomal RNA". It matches the Rfam family "Bacterial large subunit ribosomal RNA", at positions 1986 to 2570 of the family's 2925-position model. Lineage: Eukaryota; Metazoa; Chordata; Lepidosauria; Squamata; Lacertidae. The record is from RNAcentral.